UGCCGAAACGCGGAUUCGAACCCGGAACUUUUAGAUUUUCAGUUUAAAGUUUUCGCAACUGAGCUAUUCCGCC
Cordylochernes scorpioides is the source of this 73-nucleotide non-coding RNA. The record is from the annotation of a GenBank genome assembly. NCBI's taxonomy places the organism in Eukaryota, Metazoa, Arthropoda, Arachnida, Pseudoscorpiones, Chernetidae.